This 105-nucleotide transfer RNA is filed under the name Ectopseudomonas khazarica. RNAcentral describes it as "Pseudomonas khazarica tRNA-Leu". Lineage: Bacteria; Pseudomonadati; Pseudomonadota; Gammaproteobacteria; Pseudomonadales; Pseudomonadaceae. The record is from RNAcentral.
GCGGAACAAAUAAUGAGGUAAGUUAUUGUUUUUAAGAGCAUUAAUUGGAGACUUAAAAUCUCUCGCCAGCAAUGGCGUGCCGGUUCGAGUCCGGCUUCGGCACCA